Molecule: long non-coding RNA, 1183 nt
Filed under: Sus scrofa (pig)
Lineage: Eukaryota; Metazoa; Chordata; Mammalia; Artiodactyla; Suidae
Description: lncRNA (ENSSSCG00035023277.1)
Source: RNAcentral
GCCAUACCAGAAUAUUCAGAAGUUCCCAAACCAGGAAGCAAAACUAUUCCACUACUUUGACACAAGCCAUAGCAGUGUCCUUAACCUGCUAUGCCACCAAGGUACUCUGUGAACAUUUAAAAAGUAAAUAAACUAAAUGAAGAAACAAACAUGAGCAUACAAUGUACUAAAUGCCACAAAGCUUUAAAUAAAUAUUUAAAGAAAAAAUGAUUAUUCAUUGUAGAAUAAGAUGCUAUGAAAUAGACAUUUUCAUAUAUUGCCAACAGUAAUACAAGGAUUAGAAAACAACUUGGCAAUAAUCCUUUGACCUUAUCUUGAAUAAAUCUGCCUUUUUCAUCUAUAUAAAUAAAAUAAUUCUAAGGAAAUAAUUUUAAUGACAAAAGAUAUGAAUCUAAGAAUUAUUUAAAACAGCCAAAAAAAAACUGCGAAUAAGUAAAAUGUGCAAUAAUGACUAAGUAAACAGUCAUGUAUAAAAGUCACAUGAUACCAUACCAGCCACUAUAAACAGGAUUAAGAUGGCAGAAUACAAGGACUGGAGCUCAACUUCUCUCCUAAAAACAACAAAAUUCACAACUAAAGACUGAGCAAUCUCCACCCAAAUGGACCGGAAACCUUAAAAAAGAUACCCUACUCCAGAAGAAAAAGAGGAGACCACAUCAAGAGGUAGGAGGGGCAAUUUCACGACAUAAACAACCCCAUACCUCUGGGGUGAGAAGCUUCACAGACUGGAAACUAACUCACAGAGACUCACCUACAGGAGUGAGAGUUCUGAGCCCCGCAUCAAACCCUCACCUGUGGGGAUCUGGCACUGGGAGAAAGAGACCCUGGAGCAUCUGGCAUUGAAGGCCAGUGGGGCUUGUGUGCAGGAGCUCCAUGGGACUGGGGGAAAUGGAGACCCCAUUCUUAAAAGGCGCACACAGACUUUCACGUGUACUGGGUCCCAGGGCAGAGCGAGGUCUCCAUAGGAAUGUGGGUCAAACCUAACUGCAGUUCUUGGAGGACAUCCUGGGAAAACAGGGGUGAAGGUGGCUUGUUGUGAGGAAAAGACACUGGAAGCAAAGCUCUCAGGAAUAUUCAGCAGCCUGCCUGUAUCUGGAGGUGGCCAUUUUGGGAAAAUCUGGCCCCAUCCAUCAGUCAGCACUGAGAAGCCCCAGGGCAAACAACAAUCCAGGUGGGAUCACAG